Molecule: unclassified non-coding RNA, 155 nt
Filed under: uncultured Hyaloscypha
Lineage: Eukaryota; Fungi; Ascomycota; Leotiomycetes; Helotiales; Hyaloscyphaceae
Description: sequence contains ITS1
Source: RNAcentral
CAGAGUUCAUGCCCUUCGGGGUAGAUCUCCCACCCUUGAAUAUACACCUUUGUUGCUUUGGCGGGCCGCGCUUGCGCGUUGGCUCCGGCUAACUGUGCCCGCCAGAGGACCCCAACUCUUUUGUUUAGUGAUGUCUGAGUACUAUAUAAUAGUUA